RNAcentral lists this transfer-messenger RNA (367 nucleotides) under Blastocatellia. RNAcentral's name for it is "JAFDVL01 sp016789725 Standard tmRNA". It matches the Rfam family "transfer-messenger RNA". From Rfam's summary of the family: Bacterial tmRNA, also known as 10Sa RNA or SsrA, is named for its dual tRNA and mRNA-like properties. Lineage: Bacteria; Pseudomonadati; Acidobacteriota. RNAcentral also lists the same sequence under 1 other name. The record is from RNAcentral.
GGGGGUGCACUGGUUUCGAUGGGAGACCUGCAGCGACGGAUGCAUACCGGGAUGCUUGUAACCCGUACUCUGCAAGCAAAACAUAAUUGCGAAUCAAGAACUCGCAAUGGCUGCCUAGUUAAUACCUAGUUCACAGCUCGUUCGCCCGUGCUUCGCCGAUAGGCACGGAACCGAGCGUCACUUUUAUCGGCUGGCUUUCUGAUGCAGGUCAGAGUCAGAAAGCGAGACUUUUCUGGCAUAGCUCGCGCGCGGUUCUUCGCCGCUUCGGAUUCCGCGCGAGAGUGAAACUUCAAUCGAAGCGGCUAAGUAUGUAGAGGCUUUCGUGAAUGGCUGCCAGACGAGAGUUCGAUUCUCUCCACCUCCACCA